CACGGGGGGAGCAAGCGUUGUUCGGAAUCACUGGGCGUAAAGGGCGUGUAGGCGGUUGAGUAAGUGGGAUGUGAAAUGCCUCGGCUUACCCGGGGACCGGCAUCCCAAACUGCUCGACUUGAGUACGGGAGAGGAUGAGGGAAUUCCUGGUGUAGCGGUGAAAUGCGUAGAUAUCAGGAGGAACACCGGUGGCGAAGGCGCUCAUCUGGCCCGAUACUGACGCUGAUGCGCGAAAGCUAGGGGAGCGAACGGG
RNAcentral lists this ribosomal RNA (253 nucleotides) under uncultured prokaryote. RNAcentral describes it as "partial 16S ribosomal RNA". It matches the Rfam family "Bacterial small subunit ribosomal RNA", at positions 524 to 776 of the family's 1533-position model. The record is from RNAcentral.